RNAcentral lists this ribosomal RNA (151 nucleotides) under uncultured bacterium. RNAcentral describes it as "partial 16S ribosomal RNA". It matches the Rfam family "Bacterial small subunit ribosomal RNA", at positions 173 to 334 of the family's 1533-position model. The record is from RNAcentral.
AUUAGAAGCCUUCUGAUUAAAGGAGUAAUCCGCUUUGGGAGGGACCUGCCGUCCCAUCAGCUAGUUGGUAGGGUAACGGCCUACCAAGGCAAUGACGGGUAGGGGACCUGAGAGGGUGACCCCCCCACAAUGGCACUGAAACACGGGCCAU